UUAAGUUCAGCGGGUAGUCCUACCUGAUUUGAGGUCAAGAUGUUAUUAAAUUGUCCCGGUAAGAGACGGUUAUAAGCAGGGUCCCAUAAAUUUGCUUCAAGGUCAAACGGCAUAGAUAAUUAUCACACCAAGUGACGGUCCACAAGAGAUCCCGCUAAUGAAUUUAAGGGGAGCAGACCAUCCACUGAAGGAAGCCAGCA
RNAcentral lists this unclassified non-coding RNA (200 nucleotides) under Mycena sp. RNAcentral describes it as "partial internal transcribed spacer 2". The record is from RNAcentral. Lineage: Eukaryota; Fungi; Basidiomycota; Agaricomycetes; Agaricales; Mycenaceae.